Molecule: ribosomal RNA, 428 nt
Filed under: uncultured bacterium
Lineage: Bacteria
Description: bacterial SSU rRNA
Rfam family: Bacterial small subunit ribosomal RNA
Source: RNAcentral
ACGGCUCAGUAACACGUGAGUAACCUGCCCUCUUCUUCGGGAUAACGGUUGGAAACGGCUGCUAAUACCGGGUAUUCACUGGUCCUCGCAUGGGGGUUGGUGGAAAGGUUUUUUCUGGUGGGGGAUGGGCUCGCGGCUUAUCAGCUUGUUGGUGGGGUGAUGGCUUACCAAGGCUUUGACGGGUAGCCGGCCUGAGAGGGUGACCGGUCACAUUGGGACUGAGAUACGGCCCAGACUCCUACGGGAGGCAGCAGUGGGGAAUUUUGCACAAUGGGCGCAAGCCUGAUGCAGCGACGCCGCGUGAGGGAUGGAGGCCUUCGGGUUGUGAACCUCUUUCGCUCAUGGUCAAGCCGCAGUUUUGAUUGUGGUGAGGGUAGUGGGUAAAGAAGCGCCGGCUAACUACGUGCCAGCAGCCGCGGUAAUACGAU